GAUGAACGCUGGCGGCGUGCCUAAUACAUGCAAGUCGAGCGAACAGAUGAGGAGCUUGCUCCUCUGACGUUAGCGGCGGACGGGUGAGUAACACGUGGAUAACCUACCUAUAAGACUGGGAUAACCUCGGGAAACCGGAGCUAAUACCGGAUAAUAUACUGAACCGCAUGGUUCAAUAGUGAAAGACGGUUUUGCUGUCACUAAUAGAUGGAUCCGCGCCGCAUUAGCUAGUUGGUAAGGUAACGGCUUACCAAGGCAACGAUGCGUAGCCGACCGGAGGGGGUGAUCGGCCACACUGGAACUUAGACACGGUCCAGACUCCUACGGGAGGCAGCAGUAGGGAAUCUUCCGCAAUGGGCGGAAGCCUGACGGAACAACGCCGCGUGAGUGGUGGAGGUCUUCGGAUCGUAAAACUCUGUUAUUAGGGAAGAACAAAUGUGGAAGUAACUGUGCACGUCUUGACGGUACCUGAUCAGGAAGCCACGGCUAACUACGUG
Molecule: ribosomal RNA, 497 nt
Filed under: uncultured bacterium
Lineage: Bacteria
Description: partial 16S ribosomal RNA
Rfam family: Bacterial small subunit ribosomal RNA
Source: RNAcentral